Long non-coding RNA from Teleopsis dalmanni, 667 nucleotides. RefSeq lists it as uncharacterized. The transcript has 3 exons. Lineage: Eukaryota; Metazoa; Arthropoda; Insecta; Diptera; Diopsidae. The record is from RefSeq and is a predicted model, not a curated record.
AUGAGUGACAUUGUUUCCGACUGUGUAUAUAUGGAGACGCGUAGAACUGCUCGUGUAGAUCGGUAACUGCUUAUAGAUUUGCUGGUAUGUGUGAAAAUUGUCACCAGCUGGAACAAAGCCGCUCUUAGUAUCUGAAAUGAGCUACUGCUUUGGCGCUGCUGUGCAGUCAUUCGCGCGGCAUGGAGUCCAUCUCUCGUCUAUUUUGCUGAUCGCAUCGAAACCGAUCAUGUCAAUUAUUCGCGUUUGUGCGCUGUCCGGAAAGGUCGUGCCAAAACUUAACCAAACGAAAUCUAUGCGAAAUAAGCGCGAGCACAGUUCGAACAGCUGAGACCUUCAGCUUAAAUAACGUGGCCUCCAUAAACAUUGCUAAUAUACGGUGAUUAAUACUAUAAGUAGUAACAUACACACAAAUACACGCUAUGAAGUUCAACUUUAUGAAAAGCAAUUCCACAGAAAGUGAGACUAAGUCCUCACCCACCUCGGAAACAUCUGCAACAGAACCGCUGGCACCGCAAUAUUUGCGUCAAAUCACAAUUGAAAAUGAUCCAGAUUCACUUGAUAGUGUCAUCAAUAAUCCACAAUCAUAUCCCAUCACAAUAGUUCCGAACAGGCCGAAUACAUUCUAUGGAUUCUCACCCAGCGGAAAAGUAUAUAAUCGGCAGUCAAG